CUCUCAGCUUACCUUGCGCAGCUUAGGUGGGAGGCUAUGAACCUUUUCUUCUGGGAAGAGGGGAGCCAUCAGUGAGAUACCACUCUUGGUAAGCUAGAGCGCUCAGUCUUCGCCGUCAUCCGGUAAGACGACAGUUUCAGGCGGGCAGUUUGACUGGGGCAGUCACCUCCCAAAAGGUAAUGGAGGUGUGCAAAGGUUCCCUCAGGCUGGACGGAAAUCAGCCAUAGAGUGUAAAAGCAUAAGGGAGCUUGACUGCGAGACUGACAUGUCAAGCAGAGACGAAAGUCGGCUUUAGUGAUCCGACGGUGCUGUGUGGAAAGGCCGUCGCUCAACGGAUAAAAGUUACUCUAGGGAUAAC
This 358-nucleotide ribosomal RNA is filed under the name uncultured eukaryote. Its description in RNAcentral is "LSU rRNA". It matches the Rfam family "Bacterial large subunit ribosomal RNA", at positions 2120 to 2478 of the family's 2925-position model. The record is from RNAcentral.